Molecule: ribosomal RNA, 497 nt
Filed under: uncultured bacterium
Lineage: Bacteria
Description: partial 16S ribosomal RNA
Rfam family: Bacterial small subunit ribosomal RNA
Source: RNAcentral
GAUGAACGCUGGCGGCGUGCCUAAUACAUGCAAGUCGAGCGAACAGACGAGGAGCUUGCUCCUCUGACGUUAGCGGCGGACGGGUGAGUAACACGUGGAUAACCUACCUAUAAGACUGGGAUAACUUCGGGAAACCGUAGCUAAUACCGGAUAAUAUAUUGAACCGCAUGGUUCAAUAGUUAAAUACGGUUUUGCUGUCACUUAUAGAUGUAUCCGCGCCUCAUUAGCUAGUUGGUAAGGUAACGGCUUACCAAGGCAACGAUGCGUAGCCGACCUGAGAGGGUGACCGGCCACACUGGAACUGAGACAAGGUCCAGACUCCUACGCGAGGCAGCAGUAGGGAAUCUUCAGCAAAGGGCGAAAGCCUGACGGAGCAACGCCGCGUGAGUGAUGAAGGUCUUCGGAUCGUAAAACUCUGUUAUUAGUGAAGAACAAAUGUGUAAGUAACUAUGCACGUCUUGACGGUACCUAGUCAGAAAGCCACGGCUAACUACGUG